GUCUCUAUGGCUCAGUCGGUAGAGCGUUGGUCUCAUAUCAAAUACACAUAUAUGACUCUAGAUCAUCUAGAGAUAUCCAAAGGUCGCAAGUUCGAGCCUUGCUAGGGACA
This 110-nucleotide transfer RNA is filed under the name Colletotrichum godetiae. RNAcentral's name for it is "tRNA-Met". It matches the Rfam family "tRNA". Rfam says of the family: Transfer RNA (tRNA) molecules are approximately 80 nucleotides in length. Their secondary structure includes four short double-helical elements and three loops (D, anti-codon, and T loops). Further hydrogen bonds mediate the characteristic L-shaped molecular structure. tRNAs have two regions of fundamental functional importance: the anti-codon, which is responsible for specific mRNA codon recognition, and the 3' end, to which the tRNAs corresponding amino acid is attached (by aminoacyl-tRNA synthetases). tRNAs cope with the degeneracy of the genetic code in two manners: having more than one tRNA (with a specific anti-codon) for a particular amino acid; and 'wobble' base-pairing, i.e. permitting non-standard base-pairing at the 3rd anti-codon position. The record is from RNAcentral. Lineage: Eukaryota; Fungi; Ascomycota; Sordariomycetes; Glomerellales; Glomerellaceae.